RNAcentral lists this ribosomal RNA (263 nucleotides) under uncultured Bacillota bacterium. Its description in RNAcentral is "uncultured Firmicutes bacterium partial 16S ribosomal RNA". It matches the Rfam family "Bacterial small subunit ribosomal RNA", at positions 77 to 339 of the family's 1533-position model. Lineage: Bacteria; Bacillati; Bacillota. The record is from RNAcentral.
UGAAACCAGAUAUGACUUAGUGGCGGACGGGUGAGUAACACGUGAGCAACCUGCCUUUCAGAGGGGGAUAACGGCUGGAAACGGUCGCUAAUACCGCAUGACGUGUUCGGAUGGCAUCAUCUGAACAUCAAAGAUUUAUCGCUGAAAGAUGAGCUCGCGUCUGAUUAGUUAGUUGGUGGGGUAACGGCCUACCAAGACGACGAUCAGUAGCCGGACUGAGAGGGUGAUCGGCCACAUUGGGACUGAGACACGGCCCAAACUCC